RNAcentral lists this ribosomal RNA (253 nucleotides) under uncultured bacterium. RNAcentral describes it as "partial 16S ribosomal RNA". It matches the Rfam family "Bacterial small subunit ribosomal RNA", at positions 524 to 776 of the family's 1533-position model. The record is from RNAcentral.
UACAGAGGGUGCAAGCGUUGUUCGAAAUCAUUGGGCGUAAAGCGCACGUAGGCGGUGCGGUCAGUCUGAUGUGAAAUCCCCCGGCUCAACCGGGGAGGGUCAUUGGAUACUGCCGUGCUCGAGUACCGGAGAGGAUGAUGGAAUUCCUGGUGUAGAGGUGAAAUUCGUUGAUAUCAGGAGGAACACCUGAGGCGAAAGCGGUCAUCUGGAAGGUUACUGACGCUGAGGUGCGAAGGUAUGGGGAGCAAACAGG